This 102-nucleotide microRNA precursor is filed under the name Nannospalax galili (Upper Galilee mountains blind mole rat). RNAcentral describes it as "miRNA (ENSNGAG00000008208.1)". The stretch from base 5 to 83 matches the Rfam family "mir-760 microRNA precursor family". The record is from RNAcentral. Lineage: Eukaryota; Metazoa; Chordata; Mammalia; Rodentia; Spalacidae.
GCGGAGCGCGUCGUCCCCCUCAGGCCUCCAGAGCCCGGAUGCCUCCGAAAUUCGGCUCUGGGUCUGUGGGGAGCGAAAUGCUACCCAAACCCGUUGUUUCCG